This 346-nucleotide long non-coding RNA is filed under the name Bos taurus (domestic cattle). RNAcentral describes it as "long non-coding RNA NONBTAT025861". Lineage: Eukaryota; Metazoa; Chordata; Mammalia; Artiodactyla; Bovidae. The record is from RNAcentral.
AGUGAAACUUAAAGUCCAAAGUCUAAAAGCUACUGAAUUCAACCCACUCAGUCAGAACUUGUUGAAUUAUAUUUUGUCUACUGAUACUCAGAUGAAUGGCAGUGGAAGAAAGAAAAAGAAACUCGAAGAAGCAAAGAACUGAAUUCAAAGAUUAUGUCAUUAAAUUCCAGGUAUUUGAUACAGUGAAUAGAUCAGAGGUAAUCUCAGUUCCAUAUUUACUUGUGAUUUUCACCUUUCCCCAUUAUUUACCAAUACUGAAUUUACUAUAUUAAAACGAAGCCUGGCUUAAAAAACAUAAUAAUUUCACAUUCCUAUAGCAGCAGAUCAGUAACGCAGAUCCCAUAGC